GCAACGAGCGCAACCCUUAUCCUUUGUUGCCAGCGAUUAGGUCGGGAACUCAAAGGAGACUGCCAGUGAUAAACUGGAGGAAGGUGGGGAUGACGUCAAGUCAUCAUGGCCCUUACGACCAGGGCUACACACGUGCUACAAUGGCGCAUACAAAGAGAAGCGACCUCGCGAGAGCAAGCGGACCUCAUAAAGUGCGUCGUAGUCCGGAUUGGAGUCUGCAACUCGACUCCAUGAAGUCGGAAUCGCUAGUAAUCGUGGAUCAGAAUGCCACGGUGAAUACGUUCCCGGGCCUUGUACACACCGCCCGUCACACCAUGGGAGUGGGUUGCAAAAGAAGUAGGUAGCUUAACCUUCGGGAGGGCGCUUACCACUUUGUGAUUCAUGACUGGGGUGAAGUCGUAACAAGGUAACCGUAGGGGAACCUGCGGUUGGA
RNAcentral lists this ribosomal RNA (433 nucleotides) under Salmonella enterica. RNAcentral's name for it is "bacterial SSU rRNA". It matches the Rfam family "Bacterial small subunit ribosomal RNA", at positions 1089 to 1522 of the family's 1533-position model. Lineage: Bacteria; Pseudomonadati; Pseudomonadota; Gammaproteobacteria; Enterobacterales; Enterobacteriaceae. The record is from RNAcentral. RNAcentral also lists the same sequence under 3 other names.